RNAcentral lists this ribosomal RNA (554 nucleotides) under Phaeosphaeriaceae sp. Its description in RNAcentral is "eukaryotic LSU rRNA". The stretch from base 210 to 363 matches the Rfam family "5.8S ribosomal RNA". Lineage: Eukaryota; Fungi; Ascomycota; Dothideomycetes; Pleosporales; Phaeosphaeriaceae. The record is from RNAcentral.
ACAAGGUUUCCGUAGGUGAACCUGCGGAAGGAUCAUUACCUUUCAAUGCAGCAGAAUUGGGAUGGUUGAGUUUCUCGCCUCUCCAUUCUGCCUGUAUUCUACCCUUGUUUGCCAUAUACUAUUAUUUCCUCGGCAGGCUUGCUUGCCGAGUGAAACCAAUUAUAACCUAUUUAAUUUUCAAUCAGCGUCUGAAAAAAAUUAAUAAUUACAACUUUCAACAACGGAUCUCUUGGUUCUGGCAUCGAUGAAGAACGCAGCGAAAUGCGAUAAGUAGUGUGAAUUGCAGAAUUCAGUGAAUCAUCGAAUCUUUGAACGCACAUUGCGCCCCUUGGUAUUCCAUGGGGCAUGCCUGUUCGAGCGUCAUUUGUACCUUCAAGCUUUGCUUGGUGUUGGGUGUUUGUCCUGAGGGACUCGCCUUAAAGUAAUUGGCAGCCAGUGUUUGGUUUUGAAGCGCAGCACAAGUCGCGAUUCAAGGCUAUACGCCAGCUUCCACAAGCCUUUUUCACUUUUGACCUCGGAUCAGGUAGGGAUACCCGCUGAACUUAAGCAUAUCA